This 178-nucleotide non-coding RNA is filed under the name Vibrio sp. RNAcentral describes it as "Lysine sequence". It matches the Rfam family "Lysine riboswitch aptamer". Rfam says of the family: Riboswitches are metabolite binding domains within certain messenger RNAs that serve as precision sensors for their corresponding targets. The record is from RNAcentral. Lineage: Bacteria; Pseudomonadati; Pseudomonadota; Gammaproteobacteria; Vibrionales; Vibrionaceae.
AAUAACAGAAGAGGAGCGCUGCCCAGGCAGGUGUAAUAGUGGAAUCGCAGUUCCAAUACUAUUCACUCAGGGGGAGUAGCGCCGAGAUGGGAGCACAAUGCGAUACACUCCUGUCGGUUGAAUGGGCUGAAUCCCUUCAACUGUCAUCAGCACUGCCUGAUGAUGAGCUUCUGAGGUA